Molecule: ribosomal RNA, 433 nt
Filed under: uncultured bacterium
Lineage: Bacteria
Description: partial 16S ribosomal RNA
Rfam family: Bacterial small subunit ribosomal RNA
Source: RNAcentral
AGCGAACGCUGGCGGCAGGCCUAACACAUGCCAGUCGAACGAACUCUUCGGAGUUAGUGGCGGACGGGUGAGUAACACGUGGGAACGUGCCUUUUGGUUCGGAAUAACUCAGGGAAACUUGUGCUAAUACCGAAUGUGCCCUUCGGGGGAAAGAUUUAUCGCCAUUAGAGCGGCCCGCGUCUGAUUAGCUAGUUGGUGAGGUAACGGCUCACCAAGGCGACGAUCAGUAGCUGGUCUGAGAGGAUGACCAGCCACACUGGGACUGAGACACGGCCCAGACUCCGACGGGGGGCAGCAGUAGGGAGUCUUGCGCAAUGGGCGAAAGCCUGACGCAGCCAUGCCGCGUGAAUGAUGAAGGUCUUAGGAUUGUAAAAUUCUUUCACCGGGGACGAUAAUGACGGUACCCGGAGAAGAAGCCCCGGCUAACUUCGUG